Molecule: ribosomal RNA, 799 nt
Filed under: Streptomyces sp.
Lineage: Bacteria; Bacillati; Actinomycetota; Actinomycetes; Kitasatosporales; Streptomycetaceae
Description: bacterial SSU rRNA
Rfam family: Bacterial small subunit ribosomal RNA
Source: RNAcentral
UACACAUGCAGUCGAACGAUGAACCACCUUCGGGUGGGCAUUAGUGGCGAACGGGUGAGUAACACGUGGGCAAUCUGCCCUGCACUCUGGGACAAGCCCUGGAAACGGGGUCUAAUACCGGAUACUGACCUGCCAAGGCAUCUUGGCGGGUCGAAAGCUCCGGCGGUGCAGGAUGAGCCCGCGGCCUAUCAGCUUGUUGGUGAGGUAAUGGCUCACCAAGGCGACGACGGGUAGCCGGCCUGAGAGGGCGACCGGCCACACUGGGACUGAGACACGGCCCAGACUCCUACGGGAGGCAGCAGUGGGGAAUAUUGCACAAUGGGCGAAAGCCUGAUGCAGCGACGCCGCGUGAGGGAUGACGGCCUUCGGGUUGUAAACCUCUUUCAGCAGGGAAGAAGCGAAAGUGACGGUACCUGCAGAAGAAGCGCCGGCUAACUACGUGCCAGCAGCCGCGGUAAUACGUAGGGCGCAAGCGUUGUCCGGAAUUAUUGGGCGUAAAGAGCUCGUAGGCGGCUUGUCGCGUCGGUUGUGAAAGCCCGGGGCUUAACCCCGGGUCUGCAGUCGAUACGGGCAGGCUAGAGUUCGGUAGGGGAGAUCGGAAUUCCUGGUGUAGCGGUGAAAUGCGCAGAUAUCAGGAGGAACACCGGUGGCGAAGGCGGAUCUCUGGGCCGAUACUGACGCUGAGGAGCGAAAGCGUGGGGAGCGAACAGGAUUAGAUACCCUGGUAGUCCACGCCGUAAACGGUGGGCACUAGGUGUGGGCAACAUUCCACGUUGUCCGUGCCGCAGCUAACGCAUUA